GAAGUAUUUGCAGUGGGUCAGUGCAUCUGGCUGUUAACCAGAAGGAUGGUGGUUUGAGUCCACCCAGGGAUG
RNAcentral lists this transfer RNA (72 nucleotides) under Podarcis lilfordi (Lilford's wall lizard). RNAcentral describes it as "tRNA.Asn". The stretch from base 10 to 64 matches the Rfam family "tRNA", at positions 10 to 63 of the family's 71-position model. From Rfam's summary of the family: Transfer RNA (tRNA) molecules are approximately 80 nucleotides in length. Their secondary structure includes four short double-helical elements and three loops (D, anti-codon, and T loops). Lineage: Eukaryota; Metazoa; Chordata; Lepidosauria; Squamata; Lacertidae. The record is from RNAcentral.